CAAAAUGAGGGCAUCCAGCAGAAGUGCGUUAGCCACUUCAUUUCGCCUGACGCAAUGCGGAAGCCCCCUCUCGACACCCCAGGGACUGGAUUCCCCUGCAGUCCAUCCUUCAACUGUGGAUGCCACAGAUAAACCAGAAACACCAACGUGCCCGUCAGCGGCCCCAGGGACUGGAUUCCCCUGCAGUCCAUCCUUCAACUGUGGAUGCCACAGAUAAACCAAAAACACCAACGUGCCCGUCAGCGGCCCCAGGGACUGGAUUCCCCUGCAGUCCAUCCUUCAACUGUGGAUGCCACAGAUAAACCAAAAACACCAACGUGCCCGUCAGCGGAGAACGAUGGGCGGAGCCACCCUGUGGGCUAUUCAUUCUUAAAAGAGCAACAAAGGGCGCCCUCAUCCUGCACCUGACGGAGCACCUGCUGCACAGCAACAUGACCAGCAGUGACAUCCUCCUGUGACCAGCAGUGACAUCCUCCUGUGACCAGCAGUAACAUCCUCCUGUGCUACACAUGGUUGGCUGGAUGAUGUGGAACUGGAUGGUGUCCAUUCUGGCCACAGGAGCGGCCAUGGGCUUGUACGAUGGCUCCCCCAUGGUGUCCAUGCCCAACAUGCUCUGGGACCUGGUUGACAGGAUAGGCAUCCUGGUAACCAGGGUGAAGUGGCUGUCGGCGCUGGAAGAGAAGGCCAUGAAGCCGGUGCGUCAAGAGCAGCGUCCUCCUGGGCUCCACCUCGGGUAUGGCUCUGCGGGGGACAGACCUCCCGGCCAUCCCCGCCUCCGGAAGGCAGGCCGGCCCUGUAAGUAUGCACACCCUCUGCCCAGUGCUUGGAUUCAUCCCAAGGGCACGGUCUACUGGGCGGCCAGUACGCACAGUCCCCUCUCAGUGUCUGAGGCAGUGAUGCUCUGCAAAGUCACUGUGAACACCGAGUCAGCACGGAUGGAACCCUUGCUCCUGGGGGAAGUAGGUUGGUACACACACACCUCUCACAUCGAUUAUAGUCUUAAAUCCAAAACAACACAUCUUGGUAGGUUCUAUUUUUUUAUCUUGUGAAAGAGAAAAUGCAGUUCAGAAGCGUUCAGUGACUUGCCCAAGGCCACUGUCAGGUGCCAGAGCUGG
Molecule: long non-coding RNA, 1115 nt
Filed under: Macaca nemestrina (pig-tailed macaque)
Lineage: Eukaryota; Metazoa; Chordata; Mammalia; Primates; Cercopithecidae
Description: lncRNA (ENSMNEG00000045764.1)
Source: RNAcentral